Molecule: ribosomal RNA, 405 nt
Filed under: uncultured bacterium
Lineage: Bacteria
Description: partial 16S ribosomal RNA
Rfam family: Bacterial small subunit ribosomal RNA
Source: RNAcentral
GACGAACGCUGGCGGCGUGCUUAACACAUGCAAGUCGAGCGGAGCAGCGAACGGGAGAGUAACGCGUGAGUAACUGCCCCCCUCUCUGGGAUAACAGUUGGAAACGGCUGCUAAUACCAGAUAGUGGGGGAUGACUCGCGUCCGGUCAGCUUGUGGGGGGGGUAUGGGCCGACCAAGGGGUCGACGGGUAGCCCGCCUGAGAGGGCGACCGGCCACAUUGGGCUGAGAUAGGGCCCAAUCUGCUACGGGAGGCAGCAGUGGGGAAUAUUGCCCAAUGGGGGAAACCCUGAGGAAGAAGCGCCGCGUGCGGGAGGACGGCCUUCUGGUGGUAAACCGCUUUCAGCCAUGACGCGGUAGUGGCAGAAGAAGCACCGGCUAACUACGUGCCAGCAGCCGCGGUAAUUC